UAUGUCUGGGAACUGCCUGRUGGAGGGGGAUAACUACUGGAAACGGUAGCUAAUACCGCAUAACGUCGCAAGACCAAAGAGGGGGACCUUCGGGCCUCUUGCCAUCGGAUGUGCCCAGAUGGGAUUAGCUAGUAGGUGGGGUAACGGCUCACCUAGGCGACGAUCCCUAGCUGGUCUGAGAGGAUGACCAGCCACACUGGAACUGAGACACGGUCCAGACUCCUACGGGAGGCAGCAGUGGGGAAUAUUGCACAAUGGGCGCAAGCCUGAUGCAGCCAUGCCGCGUGUAUGAAGAAGGCCUUCGGGUUGUAAAGUACUUUCAGCGGGGAGGAAGGGAGUAAAGUUAAUACCUUUGCUCAUUGACGUUACCCGCAGAAGAAGCACCGGCUAACUCCGUGCCAGCAGCCGCGGUAAUACGGAGGGUGCAAGCGUUAAUCGGAAUUACUGGGCGUAAAGCGCACGCAGGCGGUUUGUUAAGUCAGAUGUGAAAUC
This 492-nucleotide ribosomal RNA is filed under the name Escherichia coli. RNAcentral describes it as "bacterial SSU rRNA". It matches the Rfam family "Bacterial small subunit ribosomal RNA", at positions 112 to 601 of the family's 1533-position model. The record is from RNAcentral. Lineage: Bacteria; Pseudomonadati; Pseudomonadota; Gammaproteobacteria; Enterobacterales; Enterobacteriaceae.